This 409-nucleotide ribosomal RNA is filed under the name uncultured bacterium. RNAcentral describes it as "bacterial SSU rRNA". It matches the Rfam family "Bacterial small subunit ribosomal RNA", at positions 954 to 1360 of the family's 1533-position model. The record is from RNAcentral.
AUGGGAACGCGAAGAACCUUACCUACUCUUGACAUCCAGAGAACUUUCCAGAGAUGGAUUGGUGCCUUCGGGAACUCUGAGACAGGUGCUGCAUGGCUGUCGUCAGCUCGUGUUGUGAAAUGUUGGGUUAAAGUCCCGCAACGAGCGCAACCCGUUAUCCUUUGUUGCCAGCGGUUCGGCCGGGAACUCAAAGGAGACUGCCAGUGAUAAACUGGAGGAAGGUGGGGAUGACGUCAAGUCAUCAUGGCCCUUACGAGUAGGGCUACACACGUGCUACAAUGGCGCAUACAAAGAGAAGCGACCUCGCGAGAGCAAGCGGACCUCAUAAAGUGCGUCGUAGUCCGGAUUGGAGUCUGCAACUCGACUCCAUGAAGUCGGAAUCGCUAGUAAUCGUAGAUCAGAAUGCUAC